This is a long non-coding RNA of Pipra filicauda (Wire-tailed manakin), 479 nucleotides long. RefSeq lists it as uncharacterized. The record is from RefSeq and is a predicted model, not a curated record. The transcript has 3 exons. NCBI's taxonomy places the organism in Eukaryota, Metazoa, Chordata, Aves, Passeriformes, Pipridae.
GAAUCCAGGGUCAUUCCUGAGGAAGCUGCUGUUAAAGCAACCAUCCAGGCAAAUUAGAGGAUGGCAAAUUAAGUGGAGAGAUGGGAAGGGUGGCAUCCAGAGAACGUGUGCUCUUGGAGAAGACAUACGGGCCAGAGCCUUGGUUCUCCAACUAAUAAGGAUCUUCAAGAUUUCAGCUUCAAGAAGAAAUAAAGAGAAAGUAAAGAUAAAAGAAGUCCUAAUUUAGCUAAUAAAGAAGGCUCUCUGCAGGGACCAGUCGUGCUAUGCUGCGUGUGAGAUUGUUCCUCCUGCAGCUUCCUCACAGUUUUCAAGAGGCAAAACAAGCUUCAGACAUGAGAAUAUAAAUUCCCUUAUGGAUAAUGUAUGGGGAAAUUAAGGUUAUACUGGAGAUCACAGGAAAUCUACAGGUAUCAGCCCAGGUUUUGCUCUGUUGCAGUUCCAUUUUUAACUCUAUUUACAACCUUCCUCUGGGAGGUGGU